CGCCUGUUUAUCAAAAACAUCGCCUCUUGAACCCUAUAAGAGGUCCAGCCUGCCCAGUGACUCUGUUCAACGGCCGCGGUAUCCUAACCGUGCGAAGGUAGCGUAAUCACUUGUUCUUUAAAUAAGGACUAGUAUGAAUGGCACCACGAGGGUUAUACUGUCUCCUUUUUCCGAUCAGUGAAACUAAUCUCCCCGUGAAGAAGCGGGGAUAAAAAUAUAAGACGAGAAGACCCUAUGGAGCUUUAAACUUUCAUCAAUUGCCAUUAACUUUUUUAAUUUCUGAAAAUCAAAUUUAAACUUGCAUCCUUGAUUUAAAGUUUUCGGUUGGGGUGACCACGGAGCAAAAUUCAACCUCCGCACUGAAAGGACCUAAAACCUUAGCUAAGAGCUACAACUCUACGCAUCAACAACUUGACACCAAUUGACCCAAAUAUAUUGAUCAAUGAACCAAGUUACCCUAGGGAUAACAGCGCAAUCCACUCCAAGAGCCCCUAUCGACGAAUGGGUUUACGACCUCGAUGUUGGAUCAGGGUAUCCCAGUGGUGUA
Molecule: ribosomal RNA, 547 nt
Filed under: Crossodactylodes izecksohni (Izecksohn's bromeliad frog)
Lineage: Eukaryota; Metazoa; Chordata; Amphibia; Anura; Leptodactylidae
Description: partial 16S ribosomal RNA
Rfam family: Bacterial large subunit ribosomal RNA
Source: RNAcentral